GACGAACCGUGCGAACGUUAUUCGGAAUUAUUGGGCGUAAAGGGCGCGUAGGCGGUUUGUUAAGUCGGUCGUGAAAGCCCGGGGCUCAACCCCGGAGGGUCGACCGAUACUGGCAGACUAGAGUACAGAAGAGGUAACUGGAAUUCCCGGUGUAGCGGUGAAAUGCGUAGAUACCGGGAGGAACACCCGCAGCGAAGGCGGCCCGCUGGGCCACCGCUGACGCUGAGGCGCGAAGGCUCGGGGAGCGAACGGG
Molecule: ribosomal RNA, 253 nt
Filed under: uncultured bacterium
Lineage: Bacteria
Description: partial 16S ribosomal RNA
Rfam family: Bacterial small subunit ribosomal RNA
Source: RNAcentral